Protopterus annectens (West African lungfish) is the source of this 100-nucleotide long non-coding RNA. RefSeq lists it as uncharacterized. The transcript has 3 exons. The record is from RefSeq and is a predicted model, not a curated record. NCBI's taxonomy places the organism in Eukaryota, Metazoa, Chordata, Ceratodontiformes, Protopteridae.
UGUCAAUUGAUGAAGGUGAAGACAUUAUCACAACUAUCAGCUUCAACAGAAUGUAUAUGCCUGAUUGUUCUUCACACUUAUCUUGUCUGUUAUCCCUUUG